RNAcentral lists this transfer RNA (106 nucleotides) under Roseburia amylophila. RNAcentral's name for it is "tRNA-His". It matches the Rfam family "tRNA". Rfam says of the family: Transfer RNA (tRNA) molecules are approximately 80 nucleotides in length. Their secondary structure includes four short double-helical elements and three loops (D, anti-codon, and T loops). Further hydrogen bonds mediate the characteristic L-shaped molecular structure. tRNAs have two regions of fundamental functional importance: the anti-codon, which is responsible for specific mRNA codon recognition, and the 3' end, to which the tRNAs corresponding amino acid is attached (by aminoacyl-tRNA synthetases). tRNAs cope with the degeneracy of the genetic code in two manners: having more than one tRNA (with a specific anti-codon) for a particular amino acid; and 'wobble' base-pairing, i.e. permitting non-standard base-pairing at the 3rd anti-codon position. Lineage: Bacteria; Bacillati; Bacillota; Clostridia; Lachnospirales; Lachnospiraceae. The record is from RNAcentral.
GCUCCCGUACCCCAGCAGGUAGAGGGACGGGCACUGUGAAAUAGAAUGGAAGCUCCAUUGUCAGUCGGUGCCUAUGAUGUCGCUGGUUCGAAUCCAGCCGGGAGCA